GAGGAGAAACCCCCCCACAACAAGCACAUCACCUGUGUACUGCUUCAUGAAUUUGACAAUGCAAGCUGGGAACAGGAGCGCGGCGAGAUGCACAAUGCUUUAUAUACAGAGUCAAAGUCAUAUGUGUUUGUUUAUACUGGUGGAAAAGAAAUAUUGCAUGGAAACAUGGAGGAAUAUGGUUGAUAAAGAUACCUUUUAUGAGCUGUCUGGAAGAAUAUUGGACAAGGGCCAGGAGAUAGUGAAUGAAUUUAUCUUGGAAUAGGCUUACUUGCUGACCUGGAUGGUGAUGGAUGAUACUGUUUAUUUACGGAAGAAAUCAAGACCCCAUGACCCCACCCGCCAUGUCCAGCUGGCUCUGGAUAGUGUGAAGGAGGAGGGAACUCCCCCAACGCCAAGGAAAUACAAGAAGCGAGAUGAUGGGCGGCCAAGGGUCCAGAUACGGAUCGGGGAUGAUGAAUCUGAUGAGGAAGGAGACAAGGUGGACUGUGGAAGCGAUGACCCGAACGAGAAUGGUGAGUACAACACAAUAUUUGAAAUAAAAUGUGAGGUAUCUGAUGUUUUUGUAGAAUUAUUUCUUUGAGGAACAGGCAUAAACUUCUUUUUUAACGAAGAAAAAUUGGUUAUUUGAUAGGUACUAAAUACAAAAUAUAUAACAGUAAAGCAAUUAAAAUGUUUAUGGGAUAAUGGGAGUUAGUCCUGCUGAGAUAUUGUCUUUGUAUAAUGUGGUAAUGUUAUUACUUCAUUCAUUUGGUGGUGGCAAUACACCCCCUACCCAUGUUAAUUCGUCAAGAAAUAAUCUUUUGGCUAUAGGAGGUUUGCCUAUUUUCUUUUGCCUCUGAAUGAAUGCAGAUACACAAUGCACAUCUGAAUAUGUGGGAAGCUUUGUUAUGGUAUUUUCCUUGAGCCAAGUGAACAUGCAAUGCCAUUCAAAACCAGUGAAGUGAAACCCCAGAAUGAAACCAUUCCUAAAUCUACAGUGAAGUUUAGUCUGUAAAUCAGUACACAGUUCUCAAUUGAAUAAAAGGUCUCCAAGGAGCUUAUCACCUCUGUAUAUACUGUAUAGGAUACUUACAAUAUUGUGAUGCAGUAAAGCAUAUCAGUGGAGGUUUUUAUCUCUUUGUGUUUGAGGGGAUUUUGCAAAACUAUGUAGUCACCUCUUUAAUGGAACUUUUAUCUGAGAGUUUCAAUCAGUGGAUAUUUUUAGGUUUUGCAGAACUGGUGUUGAAAGUCCACCAGUUCUUCAUUGAAUUUGCUAAUCAGCAUUUGUUUGCACUUUAAAUGGUUUGAUGAACAAGUUGCUGGUACUCAUGUGUUCUGUGAAUGUUUUAGCCUGCGGAAGUAACUUGCUGUGUUGUUUGUGUACAAUGUUUGAUGGUUGGUUGUACAAAUGAAGGACAAAUCAUGAUUUUGUAAUGUGACCAAAUGCAGUGUUUGUAGUUAGCUUGCACUGGGAUUUAACUGUGGACCAGAAUCAGUGUACAUCUAGAUUUGAGUUCUGAUCAAAUUCUCAUUGGAACUGAUGUUUUCAUCACAAGGAAGAAGCAAAUACAUCCUAUA
Long non-coding RNA from Lytechinus pictus (painted urchin), 1557 nucleotides. RefSeq lists it as uncharacterized. The transcript is spliced from 2 exons. NCBI's taxonomy places the organism in Eukaryota, Metazoa, Echinodermata, Echinoidea, Temnopleuroida, Toxopneustidae. The record is from RefSeq and is a predicted model, not a curated record.